CUUUUCCUCCGAGGCGGGAGACCACUUCUGGAAACGCUUAAGCGAUUGAAUAUGGAUGACUUUGUUAAACUAAAGUUACCAGAAUGGCAACUUCUGGAGCUGAUGGACCAUUUUGCAGGCUCCAGAGACUACAUUUCCCUGAUGGUUCUGCCAAGCCUGAUGCCACCUGCAGUCUUCAGGAUGGGCCUGAAAGACCGUGAGGACUACAGUGUCUGACGCCAUGAAGGCCUUCAUCGAUCUUAAGCCUGUCGGAACAAACAUGGUGGAGUACCUUCAGGCAGCAGACCAGGCCGUACCCCUACACCCUGGUGUUGGGAGGAGAGGAGUGCUGCUCACAGCCAUUCACCGUUCUCAGUGGGCCGGCCCUGGAGCAGGACAGCGGUGUCCAAGCUGGACAUGUUUGUUUG
This is a long non-coding RNA of Sander lucioperca (pikeperch), 407 nucleotides long. RefSeq lists it as uncharacterized. The transcript has 4 exons. The record is from RefSeq and is a predicted model, not a curated record. Lineage: Eukaryota; Metazoa; Chordata; Actinopteri; Perciformes; Percidae.